RNAcentral lists this ribosomal RNA (254 nucleotides) under uncultured bacterium. Its description in RNAcentral is "partial 16S ribosomal RNA". It matches the Rfam family "Bacterial small subunit ribosomal RNA", at positions 524 to 776 of the family's 1533-position model. The record is from RNAcentral.
UACGGGGGGGGCAAGCGUUGUCCGGAUUUAUUGGGCGUAAAGAGCUCGUAGGCGGUUGGGCAAGUCACGUGUGAAAUCUCCACGCUCAACGUGGAGGCGCCACGUGAGACUGCCCUGACUCGAGUCCGGUAGGGGAGCGUGGAAUUCCCGGUGUAGCGGUGAAAUGCGCAGAGAUCGGGAGGAACACCCGUAGCGAAGGCGGCGCUCUGGGCCGGUACUGACGCUGAGACGCGAAAGCGUGGGGAGCGAACAGG